This 253-nucleotide ribosomal RNA is filed under the name uncultured bacterium. RNAcentral describes it as "partial 16S ribosomal RNA". It matches the Rfam family "Bacterial small subunit ribosomal RNA", at positions 524 to 776 of the family's 1533-position model. The record is from RNAcentral.
UACAGGGGGUGCAAACGUUGCUCGGAAUCAUUGGGCGUAAAGCGCACGUAGGCGGUUUGUCGCGUCUGCCGUGAAAGUCCGGGGCUCAACUCCGGAUCUGCGGUGGGUACGGGCAGACUAGAGUGAUGUAGGGGAGACUGGAAUUCCUGGUGUAGCGGUGAAAUGCGCAGAUAUCAGGAGGAACACCGAUGGCGAAGGCAGGUCUCUGGGCAUUAACUGACGCUGAGGAGCGAAAGCAUGGGGAGCGAACAGG